RNAcentral lists this transfer RNA (72 nucleotides) under Camelus bactrianus (Bactrian camel). It matches the Rfam family "tRNA". From Rfam's summary of the family: Transfer RNA (tRNA) molecules are approximately 80 nucleotides in length. Their secondary structure includes four short double-helical elements and three loops (D, anti-codon, and T loops). Lineage: Eukaryota; Metazoa; Chordata; Mammalia; Artiodactyla; Camelidae. The record is from Rfam by way of RNAcentral. RNAcentral also lists the same sequence under 1 other name.
GAGGGUAUAGCUCAGUGGUAGAAUGCAUGCUUAGCAUGCACGAGGUCCUGGGUUCAAUCUCCAAUGCCUCCA